Molecule: ribosomal RNA, 497 nt
Filed under: uncultured bacterium
Lineage: Bacteria
Description: partial 16S ribosomal RNA
Rfam family: Bacterial small subunit ribosomal RNA
Source: RNAcentral
GAUGAACGCUGGCGGCGUGCCUAAUACAUGCGAGUCGAGCGAACGGACGAGAAGCUUGCUUCUCUGAUGUUAGCGGCGGACGGGUGAGUAACACGUGGAUAACCUACCUAUAAGACUGGGAUAACUUCGGGAAACCGGAGCUAAUACCGGAUAAUAUUUUGAACCGCAUGGUUCAAAAGUGAAAGACGGUCUUGCUGUCACUUAUAGAUGGAUCCGCGCUGCAUUAGCUAGUUGGUAAGGUAACGGCUUACCAAGGCAACGAUGCAUAGCCGACCUGAGAGGGUGAUCGGCCACACUGGAACUGAGCCCCGGUCCAGACUCCUACGGGAGGCAGCAGUAGGGAAUCUUCCGCAAUGGGCGAAAGCCUGACGGGGCAACGCCGCGUGAGUGAUGAAGGUCUUCGGAUCGUAAAACUCUGUUAUUAGGGAAGAACAUAUGUGUAAGUAACUGUGCACAUCUUGACGGUACCUAAUCAGAAAGCCACGGCUAACUACGUG